This 225-nucleotide ribosomal RNA is filed under the name uncultured soil bacterium. Its description in RNAcentral is "partial 16S ribosomal RNA". It matches the Rfam family "Bacterial small subunit ribosomal RNA", at positions 26 to 268 of the family's 1533-position model. The record is from RNAcentral.
AGAACGAACGCUGGCGGCAUGCCUAACACAUGCAAGUCGAACGAGAUCCUUCGGGGUCUAGUGGCGCACGGGUGCGUAACGCGUGGGAAUCUGCCCUUGGGUUCGGAAUAACAGUUAGAAAUGACUGCUAAUACCGGAUGAUGUCGCCAAAGAGAUUUGGGGACCAAAGAUUAUCGCCCAAGGAUGAGCCCGCGUAGGAUUAGGUAGUUGGUGGGUAAAGCCUAC